GCCAAAAUGGACGGGGAUGCAAUUUCUCCGUUCGUAGAAGGAAGUCGACCAAAGCCAAAUACUUGUUUUGUGUACAUUCUGACGUCAUUUGCGACACUUGGUGGUCUUCUCUUCGGAUAUGACAUCGGGAUCGUCUCGGGGUCGAUGCUGCUGAUACAGCCGUAUUUCCAGCUGACGACAUUCUGGCAGGAGCUGAUUGUCAGCGGUACAAUCAUUGCGGCUGUAGUGUUCGCCCUCGUGGCUGGCGUCAUGGCUGACUUGGUUGGGCGUAAAAAGACGAUUAUGUCAGCCAGCGUUGUCUUCGUGUUGGGGUCAGUGGUGAUGGGUGUGGCGUCGUCGAAGGAGGUGUUGCUGACAGGGAGGAUCGUCGUCGGGGUUGGCGUCGGUCUGGCUUCGGUGGCUGUGCCUGUGUACGUGGCGGAAGCUGCCCCGAGGCACAUCCGGGGACGUCUGGUGACCUUGAACCAGCUCUUCAUCACCAUUGGCAUCCUCAUCUCCUCCAUCAUCGCCGGUGGCUUCAGCGAACUCCAGGAGACGGGGUGGAGGUACAUGUUAGCACUGGCAGGGGUGUUCGCCAUCUUCCAGUUUAUUGGCUUCUUCUUUCUUCCGGAGAGUCCAAGAUGGCUGCUUAGCAAAGGGCGUGGUGAAUUAGCACGUGCAGUGCUCACGCAUAUCCGAGGUGGUGAAGACAUAUCUAUAGAACUGGCAGACAUCCGGACAUCAGUCACCGAAGCAAGCAGUAGCGCCACAGGUGGCCGACCUGUGAUACUCCGAGUACUUUCAACCCCUCACGUGCGGAAAGCCCUGAUGAUUGGAGGGGGGCUGUCGGUCUUUCAGCAGCUGUGUGGUAUAAACACUGUCAUAUACUACAGUGGCACGAUUCUCAAGAUGGCGGGGUUUCCGGUGAAGCACGCUAUCUGGUUGGUUGUCGUGCCCAAUGUCGUCAACUUCCUGGCCACGUUCAUUGGCUUGUGGCUCGUCGAGAGGUUAGGCAGGCGACUACUUCUCAUCAUCAGUGUUUUCGGUGUGAUUGUAUCAUUGGCAACUCUUGCGAUCGGCUUCCAGCUGUCAUAUGUCUACUCCCCUCGACUCAACUACACCGCAACAGCUUCUACAUUCACGGCAAUCAGCGACGCCAACAGCACCAAGCACCAUGUCUGCUUUCAACCAUAUAGAACAUGUGAAGAGUGCAUCCACCACAAGGUCUGUGGCUUCUGUCAGAGCGACACGAAGGAAGCGACCUGCCUCCCGGCCAAAGAUGAAACAGACUCACUGAUUGGCCCGUGUAAUUCAACCAGCUCAGGGGUGUCAGGAUACACGUGGGCCUAUGGCUACUGCCCAAAUGACUACACGUGGAUAUCGGUUGUCGGCAUGACCAUGUUUGUCCUUGCAUUUGCACCGGGUCUGGGACCCAUGCCGUGGACGGUCAACUCGGAGAUAUACCCACUGUGGGCGAGAAGCACAUGCAACUCAAUCACCACGGCAACAGUUUGGAUAUGUAAUUUCAUCGUAUCUAUGACAUUCCUUACCUUCACGGAACUAAUCACCAAGCACGGUACAUUCUGGAUGUUCAGCGGUGUCUCUGUGCUCGGCCUCAUCUUCAUCUGCAUCUUCCUCCCAGAGACGAAGGGCAAGACUCUGGAGGAGGUUGAGGAGCUCUUCAUGUCGGAGGAAGACAAAGUUCAUCACGAGGAGAGGAGGAGGACAAAAUAUACUGACUAGUGAUCCAGAACUCACUGUUAUAGUUCGUUUGACUACAACAUUAAACAUCUGAAUAUUACAGUUAUGCGACGCCGGUCUGGACCAGACAACCCUGCUCUCGUUAAUCGCCUCUUAGGACAAGCAUAGGUUGCUGAGGACCAGGGGCGGUAUUCAUAAAAAAAACCUUAGGCUAGGAUUUUUCGUAAGUCUAAACUUAAUUUCUUUUUUCAGACUUAAGUUCUUUUAUGAAUACCGCCCCAAGUCUAACCCGAAUCUUAACUGGGACCUGGACACGUAUUUGGCACCCGUCACAAAUACACGCAAUGGCAAGUAAAUUGUGCUCAUGAAAAAGCAAGGGGACAUAAAGUUCAAGUCAAAAUAGUCCAAGUAGACUUUUGUGGGCUCUUUAUUGCUUAAUUCAGCGGGCACUGGCAGAAUAUGUAACUGAACCGGGUCAAUAUAAAAUUAUGUAAAUGACAAGUCAAUCCAUAUGUGCUGUUACUUUUAAACCAUUAUAUCAGUUUGCUUAUUUGUAUAAUCUGCUCCUUAGUGAUUACUCAGUUUUCAGAAAUGAGACAUUGUUAUAUUUUGUAUUUGCUGUUUUAUAUUGGAGCAUAUUGGUUAAUCGUGUCAUUUAGAUUAGUCACUGUAAUUUGUUUAUAACAAUGUCAUGUGUUGGGCUCAAAAGACCUACUUCUUGUCCCAGUCGCCCCUGAAACUAAAUCACCACCAAUACCCACUGCUUGUUUGCCCGUGUUUGCUGUAGGGCUCUGAAUAAAUACAUAAAUAACAUCGUUA
This 2499-nucleotide unclassified non-coding RNA is filed under the name Haliotis rufescens (red abalone). RNAcentral describes it as "proton myo-inositol cotransporter-like, transcript variant X2". Lineage: Eukaryota; Metazoa; Mollusca; Gastropoda; Lepetellida; Haliotidae. The record is from RNAcentral.